GAUGAAGAACGCAGCGAAAUGCGAUACGUAAUGUGAAUUGCAAAUUCAGUGAAUCAUCGAGUCUUUGAACGCACAUUGCGCCCGCCAGUAUUCUGGCGGGCAUGCCUGUUCGAGCGUCAUUUCAACCAUCAAGCCCCCGGCUUGUGUUGGGGACCUGCGGCUGCCGCAGGCCCUGAAAAGCAGUGGCGGGCUCGCUGUCACACCGAGCGUAGUAGCAUACAUCUCGCUCUGGGCGUGCUGCGGGUUCCGGCCGUUAAACCACCUUCAUAACCCAAGGUUGACCUCGGAUCAGGUAGGAAGACCCGCUGAACUUAAGCAUAUCAAUAAGCGGAGGA
Molecule: unclassified non-coding RNA, 335 nt
Filed under: soil metagenome
Description: partial contains 5.8S ribosomal RNA, internal transcribed spacer 2, and large subunit ribosomal RNA
Rfam family: 5.8S ribosomal RNA (bases 1-119)
Source: RNAcentral